UUUGGCGGCUAUUGCAGUGAGGCUCACCUCUUACCAUUCCGAACAGAGAAGUUAAGCUCACUUGCGCAGAUGGUACUGGGGUAACUCCUGGGAGAGUAUGUCGUCGCCAGUU
This 112-nucleotide ribosomal RNA is filed under the name Flavobacteriales bacterium. The record is from RNAcentral. Lineage: Bacteria; Pseudomonadati; Bacteroidota; Flavobacteriia; Flavobacteriales.